This 484-nucleotide ribosomal RNA is filed under the name uncultured bacterium. RNAcentral describes it as "partial 16S ribosomal RNA". It matches the Rfam family "Bacterial small subunit ribosomal RNA", at positions 28 to 523 of the family's 1533-position model. The record is from RNAcentral.
GAUGAACGCUGGCGGCGUGCUUAACACAUGCAAGUCGAACGAUGGAGCCGGAGCUUGCUCUGGUGAAUUAGUGGCGAACGGGUGAGUAACACGUGAGUAACCUGCCCUUGACUCUGGGAUAACUGCGGGAAACUGUAGCUAAUACCGGAUACGACCCUCGGAGGCAUCUCCUGGGGGUGGAAAGAAUUUCGGUCAAGGAUGGACUCGCGGCCUAUCAGCUAGUUGGUGAGGUAAUGGCUCACCAAGGCGACGACGGGUAGCCGGCCUGAGAGGGUGACCGGCCACACUGGGACUGAGACACGGCCCAGACUCCUACGGGAGGCAGCAGUGGGGAAUAUUGCACAAUGGGCGCAAGCCUGAUGCAGCAACGCCGCGUGAGGGAUGACGGCCUUCGGGUUGUAAGCCUCUUUUAGCAGGGAAGAAGCGAAAGUGACGGUACCUGCAGAAAAAGCACCGGCUAACUACGUGCCAGCAGCCGCCGUAA